GAGACGGCUUGAAUGGCCGUCUCCAGCCAUUAUUAGUCUCAAAGUGGGUUCCUCGUCAUCGAAUUUGAAGUAAUAACGUAACGUUGUGGCAUUGUGGGUAAGAUUGAGUCAAGGGAUAAUUGUGUCGUAAGAAAUUUAAGCGAAGUGUUUAAACAUCUUUGUACUAAAUAAGGAACGAAUAGUUUCCAGUAUUGGACCAUGAGUAUUCAGUGGACUCUAGUAGCUGGGUUUCUAUAUGCUGAGAUAGCAUUUCUUAUUCUGUUGCUACUUCCUUUAAUUUCACCAACAAGAUGGAGGCAGGUCUUCAAGUCGAGAUUAUGCCAAGCUGUAAAAAACCAGUCACAUGUGUACUUUACUGUAUGUAUUAUUGGACUUGUACUUCUCUUCCUGGGUAAGAUUAUAUUAUUUAC
Molecule: long non-coding RNA, 410 nt
Filed under: Limulus polyphemus (Atlantic horseshoe crab)
Lineage: Eukaryota; Metazoa; Arthropoda; Merostomata; Xiphosura; Limulidae
Description: uncharacterized LOC106476524, transcript variant X2
Source: RNAcentral